GACGAACGCUGGCGGCGUGCUUAACACAUGCAAGUCGAGCGGUAAGGCCCUUUUGGGGGUACACGAGCGGCGAACGGGUGAGUAACACGUGGGUGACCUGCCCUCAGCUCUGGGAUAAGCCUGGGAAACUGGGUCUAAUACUGGAUAUGACCUUUCCUCGCAUGGGGUUGGGUGGAAAGUUUUUCGGCUGGGGAUGGGCCCGCGGCCUAUCAGCUUGUUGGUGGGGUGAUGGCCUACCAAGGCGACGACGGGUAGCCGGCCUGAGAGGGCGACCGGCCACACUGGGACUGAGACACGGCCCAGACUCCUACGGGAGGCAGCAGUGGGGAAUAUUGCGCAAUGGGCGGAAGCCUGACGCAGCGACGCCGCGUGGGGGAGUGACGGCCUUCGGUU
This 393-nucleotide ribosomal RNA is filed under the name uncultured bacterium. Its description in RNAcentral is "bacterial SSU rRNA". It matches the Rfam family "Bacterial small subunit ribosomal RNA", at positions 28 to 423 of the family's 1533-position model. The record is from RNAcentral.